This 255-nucleotide ribosomal RNA is filed under the name Klebsiella pneumoniae. RNAcentral describes it as "partial 16S ribosomal RNA". It matches the Rfam family "Bacterial small subunit ribosomal RNA", at positions 125 to 382 of the family's 1533-position model. Lineage: Bacteria; Pseudomonadati; Pseudomonadota; Gammaproteobacteria; Enterobacterales; Enterobacteriaceae. The record is from RNAcentral.
ACUGCCUGAUGGAGGGGGAUAACUACUGGAAACGGUAGCUAAUACCGCAUAACGUCGCAAGACCAAAGUGGGGGACCUUCGGGCCUCAUGCCAUCAGAUGUGCCCAGAUGGGAUUAGCUAGUAGGUGAGGUAACGGCUCACCUAGGCGACGAUCCCUAGCUGGUCUGAGAGGAUGACCAGCCACACUGGAACUGAGACACGGUCCAGACUCCUACGGGAGGCAGCAGUGGGGAAUAUUGCACAAUGGGCGCAAGC